RNAcentral lists this non-coding RNA (314 nucleotides) under Bacillus sp. (in: firmicutes). RNAcentral's name for it is "Bacillus sp. T-box sequence". It matches the Rfam family "T-box leader". From Rfam's summary of the family: Uncharged tRNA acts as the effector for transcription antitermination of genes in the T-box leader family. The record is from RNAcentral. Lineage: Bacteria; Bacillati; Bacillota; Bacilli; Caryophanales; Bacillaceae.
UAAACGACGUUGAAGAAGAGUAAGUACGCAUCAGAUAUUGAGGUCCAGAGAGUCGGUGGCCGCUGUGAACCGAUCCUCACCUGAUGCCGAAUGGGCUUCUGAGUCGCUACGCUGAACCCUAAGUAGGCGCUGCCGGGAGUCUCUCCCCGUUACCAAGAGAGGAGUAUCGCAAGACCGCUAUUCAUGGCGUCUUCCUGUACUUUUAGUGAACCGCUUAUAUAGAAAGUGAACUUAAGAAUCUAACGGAGCUAAAUUCUUAAGUUCAGCUUAUUUAGCGGUUAAAAAGGUGGUACCACGAUAACCUCGUCCUUUGC